UUGACAGCCUUGGAGACUGGAGUCUUCCAUUCAACCGCAACCCGGGUGCGGCACAGACAGAGGCAAUGUGAAUCUCCUCGACGUCCCGCCCCUGCCCCUCACAGAGGAGUCACUUCCAGGGAAGAAUGGGCAUUGUGGUCUGCACAGGUGGUUGAUCUGUGGCCCUC
This is an unclassified non-coding RNA of Fukomys damarensis (Damara mole-rat), 167 nucleotides long. The record is from Ensembl. NCBI's taxonomy places the organism in Eukaryota, Metazoa, Chordata, Mammalia, Rodentia, Bathyergidae.